This 418-nucleotide ribosomal RNA is filed under the name uncultured bacterium. RNAcentral's name for it is "bacterial SSU rRNA". It matches the Rfam family "Bacterial small subunit ribosomal RNA", at positions 355 to 787 of the family's 1533-position model. The record is from RNAcentral.
UGGGGAAUAUUGGGCAAUGGGCGAAAGCCUGACCCAGCAACGCCGCGUGAAGGAAGAAGGCUUUCGGGUUGUAAACUUCUUUUCUCAGGGACGAAGCAAGUGACGGUACCUGAGGAAUAAGCCACGGCUAACUACGUGCCAGCAGCCGCGGUAAUACGUAGGUGGCAAGCGUUAUCCGGAUUUACUGGGUGUAAAGGGCGUGUAGGCGGGACUGCAAGUCAGAUGUGAAAACCAUGGGCUCAACCUGUGGCCUGCAUUUGAAACUGUAGUUCUUGAGUACUGGAGAGGCAGACGGAAUUCCUAGUGUAGCGGUGAAAUGCGUAGAUAUUAGGAGGAACACCAGUGGCGAAGGCGGUCUGCUGGACAGCAACUGACACUGAUGCUCGAAAGUGUGGGUAUCAAACAGGAUUAGAUACCC